UAAGGAUCUAUGAUGCUAUGUUGAAACUGCGUUAUCUAUCUGAAUUCCUAAAAAGGAAUUGAAGAUAAUGAUAAUAUGCUGAGAUCUUAG
Small nucleolar RNA from Prosopis cineraria, 90 nucleotides. RefSeq annotates it as small nucleolar RNA snoR27. The record is from RefSeq and is a predicted model, not a curated record. The transcript has a single exon. NCBI's taxonomy places the organism in Eukaryota, Viridiplantae, Streptophyta, Magnoliopsida, Fabales, Fabaceae.